UGAGAAUUCUAUUCUGCAACUUAGAUAUCU
This 30-nucleotide non-coding RNA is filed under the name Rattus norvegicus (Norway rat). Lineage: Eukaryota; Metazoa; Chordata; Mammalia; Rodentia; Muridae. The record is from RNAcentral.